This 664-nucleotide ribosomal RNA is filed under the name fungal sp. E15222A. Its description in RNAcentral is "eukaryotic LSU rRNA". The stretch from base 268 to 420 matches the Rfam family "5.8S ribosomal RNA". The record is from RNAcentral. Lineage: Eukaryota; Fungi.
ACCUGCGGAAGGAUCAUUACUGAGUGGCUCGGCCUUUAUGGCUGGUUACCCGACCUUUUGUCAUUCGCUCUGGGGGUUACCCGGGGCGCGGUUUCGGUCAAGAAACUCCCGAUAACAAGGGGGGGACGGGCCGAGCCGCGCACGGGCGACCUUCAGCAAUCAUAACUUCGGCGGAAGAGGUAGGCGUCGACCUGCCCGCCGCCGGCCGUAUUUUCCACUCUUGUGAGAAUCUGAAGCCUGUGAAAACAAAAGAAAUAAGAAAAGCAAAACUUUCAACAACGGAUCUCUUGGCUCUGGCAACGAUGAAGAACGCAGCGAAACGCGAAAGUUAAUGCGAAUUGCAGAAUCAGUGAGUCAUCGAGUUUUUGAACGCACAUUGCGCCUCUCGGUAUUCCGGGAGGCACGCCUGUUCGAGCGCCAUUACAAACUCCAAGCGUAGCUUGAUGUUGGACGAUGUCUUUCUCUGUCGGGAGUCUAGCACUUCUGGGAGGACACGUCUGGAACGCGUGGGCGCCGCCGCCGGACCACGAGCGUAGCAAGACGCAAGUCAUUUUCGCUCUGUAGGACAUUUCGGUCGGACGGUCUAGCCUUGUCACAACACACACACCAAAAGUUUGGCCUCGGAUCAGGCGGGGAUACCCGCUGAACUUAAGCAUAUCAAUAA